CUACACUAUCUGAACUGACUAAAGUUACAUCUUUCCUAGGCAAAUUGUGUUUAAGGUGGAAGGCUACAUCGUCACAACAUGUCUGACUUCCGUUCGAAACGCCAUUGUGUUCCGGAUUGAUAACAUUAUGUCGUGGUACAAAAUAGCUAUGCACCGUUUAAUUGAACUCUUCUAACUAAGGAGGUGAGAUAGGAAUGAAAUCACCAAAAUGCUUAGAAAAUAUGUCAAUUUUCUUCCUGUUUAAAGCUUUUAACUAACAUUGAUUAUCAGCUGUUUUGUACGGAAAACGUGGAAUCUAAAUAAUAUACCGUUUCCCUGCUCUGCUGCUAUUGGCAAUACAUUUUUGUCAUGUCAUCUGCAACAGACGAUCAUACAUAUGUGGCGGAUUAUCGAUAUAGGUUUUUGUGGGAUUUUGUCCAGCAGUUUGCCUUAAAAGAAUUUUUUUAUAUUUUAGUUUCAUAUUUAUGUGGAUUCCAAUAAAAACCAUACAAACUUCA
Molecule: long non-coding RNA, 497 nt
Organism: Magallana angulata
Lineage: Eukaryota; Metazoa; Mollusca; Bivalvia; Ostreida; Ostreidae
Exons: 2
Source: RefSeq, a predicted model, not a curated record